RNAcentral lists this ribosomal RNA (440 nucleotides) under uncultured bacterium. RNAcentral describes it as "partial 16S ribosomal RNA". It matches the Rfam family "Bacterial small subunit ribosomal RNA", at positions 338 to 795 of the family's 1533-position model. The record is from RNAcentral.
CCUACGGGAGGCAGCAGUGGGGAAUAUUGCACAAUGGUGGAAACCCUGAUGCAGCGACGCCGCGUGAAUGAAGAAGUCUUUCGGUGUGUAAAGCUCUAUCAGCAUGGAAGAAAAUGACGGUACCUGAUUAAGAAGCCCCGGCUAACUACAUGCCAGCAGCCGCGGUAAUACGUAGGGAGCGAGCGUUAUCCGGAUUUACUGGGUGUAAAGGGAACGUAGACGGCAGCACAAGUAUGGAGUGAAAUGCCGGGGCUUAACCCCGGAACUGCUGUGGAAACUGUGCAGCUAGAGUGCAGGAGAGGUAAGUGGAAGUCGUAGUGUAGCGGUGAAAUGCGUAGAUAUGAGGAGGAAGACCAGUGGCGAAGGCGGCUUACGGGACCGUAACUGACGCUGAGGCUCGAAAGCGUGGGGAGCAAACAGGAUUAGAUACCCGAGUAGUC